GGGGCGUUAGCUCAGUUGGUAGAGCAGCUGACUCUUAAUCAGUAGGUCGUAGGUUCAACCCCUACACGCCCCACCA
Molecule: transfer RNA, 76 nt
Filed under: Steroidobacteraceae bacterium
Lineage: Bacteria; Pseudomonadati; Pseudomonadota; Gammaproteobacteria; Steroidobacterales; Steroidobacteraceae
Description: tRNA-Lys
Rfam family: tRNA
About the family: Transfer RNA (tRNA) molecules are approximately 80 nucleotides in length. Their secondary structure includes four short double-helical elements and three loops (D, anti-codon, and T loops). Further hydrogen bonds mediate the characteristic L-shaped molecular structure. tRNAs have two regions of fundamental functional importance: the anti-codon, which is responsible for specific mRNA codon recognition, and the 3' end, to which the tRNAs corresponding amino acid is attached (by aminoacyl-tRNA synthetases). tRNAs cope with the degeneracy of the genetic code in two manners: having more than one tRNA (with a specific anti-codon) for a particular amino acid; and 'wobble' base-pairing, i.e. permitting non-standard base-pairing at the 3rd anti-codon position.
Source: RNAcentral